Molecule: ribosomal RNA, 470 nt
Filed under: uncultured organism
Description: partial 16S ribosomal RNA
Rfam family: Bacterial small subunit ribosomal RNA
Source: RNAcentral
CACUCCUACGGGAGGCAGCAGUGGGGAAUUUUGGACAAUGGGCGAAAGCCUGAUCCAGCCAUGCCGCGUGCAGGAUGAAGGCCUUCGGGUUGUAAACUGCUUUUGUACGGAACGAAACGGCCUUUUCUAAUAAAGAGGGCUAAUGACGGUACCGUAAGAAUAAGCACCGGCUAACUACGUGCCAGCAGCCGCGGUAAUACGUAGGGUGCAAGCGUUAAUCGGAAUUACUGGGCGUAAAGCGUGCGCAGGCGGUUAUGUAAGACAGUUGUGAAAUCCCCGGGCUCAACCUGGGAACUGCAUCUGUGACUGCAUAGCUAGAGUACGGUAGAGGGGGAUGGAAUUCCGCGUGUAGCAGUGAAAUGCGUAGAUAUGCGGAGGAACACCGAUGGCGAAGGCAAUCCCCUGGACCUGUACUGACGCUCAUGCACGAAAGCGUGGGGAGCAAACAGGAUUAGAAACCCUGGUAGUCC